Molecule: long non-coding RNA, 483 nt
Organism: Eublepharis macularius
Lineage: Eukaryota; Metazoa; Chordata; Lepidosauria; Squamata; Eublepharidae
Exons: 3
Source: RefSeq, a predicted model, not a curated record
GAGAGGGAUAUGAUCGAGGCACCUAUUUUUUUUACUUGCAACCUAAUCAGUCACAUCUUUAUUUAUAGUCUGGUCAAGUGGAGGUGGCCAUCAAAGGUGAAACAGAAGGAAAACUGAAACCUUCCAUUCAGUAAAAUGUGGUCCGCUAUGGAGUUUCUAUGUCACUACAGGCCAUAGAGCAACCCAGAAUACGCUUGCAUCAGAUUUAAUCUAAAUCCAAAAUGGACAAUCCAAGAUGGACAAUUGCGUAGUCUUUUUAUUCCUGCUGUUAACAAGUGGACUGUGCAUGAGGACACUGGUUUUGACUAUUGAGCCUGAUGGUGCUGUAAAUUACCAACUGUUUGACUUUUUGUAUGGUGGAAGUUACUUUCACUCCUGAAGAGGUAACGCCUAUGAAAUAUCAGAUUAAAGCCAGCGCUGUAUGUCUGGCGACAUGGGUCCACUGCUUGGCAUCCUGCCUUCACCGGCUCCACCUGCAAUUAA